CGCAGCCACGAAGGAGGAAAUCCUGCCCCGGGCAGCGGAACAGAUGGAGACCGUCCUGGGAAGUGGAGCGAGCCAGGCACGUUUUCUCCUAGAGGAGAAACCUCAAAAAUAAGAGUAGGAACGCCUGAACUUGAGGGGGUCCUCCUGCCUCAGCCUCCCAAAUGCUGGGGUCACAGCAUCCACCCAAGUUGUGCCAGGCCCCGGAUGCACACUUCUCUUCAUGGCUGGGCUUCUCAGGUCCUGGCUGGAGGGGGCGUCCAUGUCCCUGUUCCCAUGGGAACAUGUCCACCUGCCCCUCCGCUGCCUCCAGCUGUCCCCGUGUCGUCCUGGAGCUUCCCGAGUGUCCCUCUGGGCCGGCCUGGCCGGGCCUCCAGCUCAUUUUGAGCAGGGGC
Molecule: long non-coding RNA, 392 nt
Filed under: Heterocephalus glaber (naked mole-rat)
Lineage: Eukaryota; Metazoa; Chordata; Mammalia; Rodentia; Bathyergidae
Description: lncRNA (ENSHGLG00100033528.1)
Source: RNAcentral